Molecule: long non-coding RNA, 1389 nt
Organism: Zalophus californianus (California sea lion)
Lineage: Eukaryota; Metazoa; Chordata; Mammalia; Carnivora; Otariidae
Exons: 8
Source: RefSeq, a predicted model, not a curated record
AGGUGGGGAGGAGCUCCCCUUCCCCUGAGCCUGGUCAGGGAACUGUAUGAACACAUGCUACUCUGAGAAGUGACAGGGGAAUGAGAUGGCCCGCUACAGAUCUGUCCCCUGGAAGCUGGGGGUGGAAUCAGGCAAAAUGAUGGUCCAGUGAAGAAGACAUGUUUGGGCAGAUGGACCUUUCUGAUUCCUGAAAUCUUGAUGAUGAGCCCUUUGAUGCUGAUCCAACACAGACUCUAGCCUGGCUCCACAUAGAAAAGGCCACACAAGGACACAGGGAGAUGUCAACAGCUGGCUGAAGCCAGGGAGAGAGGUCUCAUCAGAAACCAAUCCUGCUGGCACCUGGACUUCCAGCCUCCAAAACCAUUCGAAUUCUCAGUGGUCUCCAAAUAUUUCCCGAGGCAUUUGGAGUGUUCACGUGGAUUCAUUACCUAAGUCCUGAAAAAAGAUGAUACUGAACUGAAAUCCACAGUUUGCUAUGCAUGGAGUCUGCGGCAAGACGGUGUGAAAGUUCUCUGGAGCUUUAAUCACUAAUGACCUCAUCUUCAAGUGGUCAGUGAUAAUAAACAAGAAGAAGGGAUUUCCAGGGGGGCAGAGCAUUAAUAAGUAGGGAAUGGAAACUCAAGGAGGCGAAAUCACCAAGUUUGACGGUGCGGUUCAACUGCGGAUCCCACACACUUCACCUCCAUGAUCCACCUGUCUUGGACCGCGCACUACUGUGCCUGCGCCUCACGGGAUGAGGCUAACCCCACAGCUCCAGGCUUCUGGCAGCGGAGGUCAUCAAAGGCGGGUGACCGGUUAUGUUGAACAAAAACGAUCUUAGAGUGGAAGAAAAGUUGGGGUGUUGUUCACAUCCCUUGGGACCCACGCUACUGGCCAACUCAAACAGAACAACAAGGAGGGAUGCUUCAAAGGAUGCCAUGUGACAACCUUCACCACAGAAAUACGUAUUCCAGAACUGACCAGUAGAACUUCAUAACUAGCUCUUCACUAUGGAUUUAUUAAGAUCAGAAGAAAAGACAUGAAAAGAGGAAGAUCAACUGGGUCUGUUUCAAGAAUGUUAUCAUUCUAAACGUACAGUGCUGCCAUCUCUUAGGAAAAAUGCUUUCUAUUUGAGGACCACCAGCUCUGCAUGUUGAUUUGAAAAGAGAUAAAAGAGCAUCUGGCCACCAUAGUACAGGCUGCACAUUCCCUCCCUCUUCAUUAUGCCGAGAGCUGAAGCAAUUUUUGCUUCUUUCCUAUUUAUACAAAUAAAGAGAACGAUUUGGGAAAUAUGUCAUGCUGGCAUUAAAUACCACCAGUCUUGCUGUGUUGAAAUGUACACGUUCCAUUAACAACAAUUAUAUUGUAUAAUUAAGGUUUUGGUCCCCAAAGUCUGACUCGGAAACUUCC